CAGCCGCCGCGGGAACACGAAGGGUGCAAGCGUUAAUCGGAAUUACUGGGCGUAGAGCGUGCGUAGGCGGUGAGUUAAGUCUGCUGUGAAAUCCCCGGGCUCAACCUGGGAAUGGCAGUGGAUACUGGCUCGCUAGAGUGUGUCAGAGGAUGGUGGAAUUCCCGGUGUAGCGGUGAAAUGCGUAGAGAUCGGGAGGAACAUCAGUGGCGAAGGCGGCCAUCUGGGACAACACUGACGCUGAGGCACGAAAGCGUGGGGAGCAAACAGGAUUAGAUACCCCGGUAGUCCCUGUCUCUUAUAC
Molecule: ribosomal RNA, 301 nt
Filed under: uncultured bacterium
Lineage: Bacteria
Description: partial 16S ribosomal RNA
Rfam family: Bacterial small subunit ribosomal RNA
Source: RNAcentral